RNAcentral lists this ribosomal RNA (253 nucleotides) under uncultured bacterium. RNAcentral describes it as "partial 16S ribosomal RNA". It matches the Rfam family "Bacterial small subunit ribosomal RNA", at positions 524 to 776 of the family's 1533-position model. The record is from RNAcentral.
UACGGAGGGUGCGAGCGUUGUCCGGAUUCAUUGGGCGUAAAGGGUGCGUAGGUGGCGCGCUAAGUCAGGUGUGAAAUCUCGGGGCUUAACUCCGAAACUGCAUUUGAUACUGGCGUGCUUGAGGACUGGAGAGGAGACUGGAAUUCAUGGUGUAGCAGUGAAAUGCGUAGAGAUCAUGAGGAAGACCAGUGGCGAAGGCGGGUCUCUGGACAGUUCCUGACACUGAGGCACGAAGGCCAGGGGAGCAAACGGG